Molecule: long non-coding RNA, 2071 nt
Organism: Cairina moschata (Muscovy duck)
Lineage: Eukaryota; Metazoa; Chordata; Aves; Anseriformes; Anatidae
Source: Ensembl
GGGGACUUCUGCUGCGGCGCCUGGAGCACCUCUCCUCCUCCUUCUGCACUGACCUUGGCGCCUGCAAGGCUGUUCCUCACUCCUCUCACUCUCCCAGCUGCUGUAUGGCGCAGCGUUUAUUUUCCCUGUCUUAAAUAUGCUCUCACAGAGGCGCAAAACAACAUCAGUUAUUGGCUAGGCUCUGGUCAGCAGUGGAGCCCUUACCAAACAUGGGGCAGCUUCUAGAUCCUUCUCACAGAAGCCAGCCUUAUGGCCCCCUGCUACCAAAACCUUGCCACGUAAACCCACUACAACUUCUCAAUGAAGAAGAUAGAGGUUUUUAAGAAAUUUAAAUCCUUUUAAGUGCUUGUGGGAUAUUUAGGGUAAUGUCACACCUUUGCCAAGCCAGCAUGAAAAACAGCAUUAACUAAGUAGUGAAGCAGUCUGUGUGGACACAUUUUCAAGCUGUUUAAUAUGUCCGACAUGCUUAGUAAAUAUUCACAAAAAUUCCUCCAAUAUUUCCCCCCCUAAUAAGGGGAAAAAAGUAAAAGGAGUUUCUGGAACUACACCAAUUCUUCCAAAUAAAAUACUCACAUAUAUGUCUUUUCUUGGUAAUGUGUUUGCAAACUCUGAACAAAAAUGAAAAUAAAGAAGUAUAAAUUACUUCUGCUGUCUGAUCUAAGCCUGUAGAAAAGCUGCAGGUGAAGCUACAAGCUAAAAUUCACAAGAGGGUCAGAACUGAUUUUAUAGGUAAUUAGCAAGGGAAGUUGUGUUGUCACCACACUUCACACUGCCUAGGAAAAGAGAAGUGUCCUUUACUCAUUCACUGCUUGGUCUUGCUCAGACGUGUUCUCUGAGGCUAGAAUAUCAGGAUCUAUUUGCCAACAUCUCCUGCCUGUUUUCUGUGUACAGGCAGAAGAGGACUGUCAAGAAGAUCUCUGCUCUUCUCCUUUGGAGUGCUGGCAGCAAAGGAAGACAAUUGGGCUGCAGAACUACAGAGCUGAAUAUGCUUGUUGCCUCCUUCACUACCAGGAACAAAAUAGGUAAAGAUGGACCACAUCAGAAGACAAAUACCAGUACUGAAGAUUGGAGUGACAAGUAUAACAGAAGAGAUAUGAGGUGGAAGGCCUAAACAUAAAACACAGGACAGACACUGACUUUAGCAUUGAUGGUUUUGACCAUCCUCAUCUGACUCAGGAUUUGCUCAAUGAGUUCUAUUAGCUUGGUGCUUUAUGUAUUCUCUUCACAGGUGAAGAAAAUUUUGUCUGAAUGUUUCAAAAACCCUUGCAUACCGGGGAGUAAAUUGAGAAAGCUUAAGUUAAACAAGUGCAGAGAUUUAAUGCAUUGAUGAACUAUGUUAUCAGCUGAUAUCCCGAUUGCUUGAAAUAUUCAUCUAUCUGAACAGCAUGUAAAAGUUGUUUUCAUUCCCACAAUUGUUCAGCUUUUUACCAAUCAUGCAGUUUUAGCCACAGUAAUAAUUCAUUUGGAAAAACGUGGAGACAAACAUUAUUCAAAUCACUUGAUCCAUUUACUAACUUGUUGAAAAGUGAACAAGAGCAAUUUUUUGAACUUUUUUUUUUUUUUUUUAAAUCAUGAAUUGAGGAAUUGAAGUAAGGAACUUUUAUAAAAACCCAACUACAUAAGGACAUUGAACAGGUCUACAGCAGAAAAAAAAAAUGUGAUCUGUUUGAAUAACUAAUUUUCUUGUAAGUUGGCUGAACUUGAAAACUGAAACAAAAAAUCCAGUCAGAUAAGUGAAGAUGAUAUACAUAUAUAAAUAUUUAUAUAUAUUUACAUAUAUAUAAAUAAAAAAUACGGACAAAAACAAAAAAUGAAAUAUGUGUUUUAGUGAUUCUAAAACUAAACAGUUCAAUUUCAAUUCAGGUAGUUUUGGCAAAUGAAAUCAAUGGAAAUGAAGAGAUAGACAUAAAAAAAUAAACAAAACAAACAAAACAAAACAAAACAAAACAACAACGACAACAAAAAACAACAGAAAAGCAGACAGGAAACAAACAGCCCAUCACUUUUAAUCAUGUAUGCUCACGUAGAGAAUGCAUAGUGAAAGUUUAAUUUUCUCCUAUGCUUCAGAGGA